GGAUUAGAUACCCUGGUAGUCCACGCAGUAAACGAUGAGUACUAGCUUUUGGAUUCGGUGUUAAGGAUUUAGAAGCGAAGCUAACGCAUUAAGUACUCCGCCUGGGGAUUACGGCCGCAAGGCUAAAACUCAAAGGAAUUGACGGGGACCCGCACAAGCGGUGGAGCAUGUGGUUUAAUUCGAUGCAACGCGAAGAACCUUACCUACCCUUGACAUACCAAGAAUCCUGCAGAGAUGCGGGAGUGCCUUCGGGAAUUUGGAUACAGGUGCUGCAUGGCUGUCGUCAGCUCGUGCCG
Molecule: ribosomal RNA, 296 nt
Filed under: uncultured bacterium
Lineage: Bacteria
Description: partial 16S ribosomal RNA
Rfam family: Bacterial small subunit ribosomal RNA
Source: RNAcentral